This 279-nucleotide ribosomal RNA is filed under the name Pseudopachylus alticola. Its description in RNAcentral is "partial 16S ribosomal RNA". The record is from RNAcentral. Lineage: Eukaryota; Metazoa; Arthropoda; Arachnida; Opiliones; Gonyleptidae.
GCAUAAUCAUUAGUUUUUUAAUUGGGAGCUGGAAUGAAAGAUAGAGACUGAAAAGAUAGUUUUUUUUAAUUAGUUUGAAUUUAAAUUUAAAGUAAAAAUGCUUUAUUUAUUUCUUGGGACGAGAAGACCCUAGAAGCUAUAAAUUAUAAAAUAAUUUUUUAUUGGGGCAAUAGUUAAAGAAAUUAAUUUUUAAUUUUGGUUUAUGGAAAAAAAAAGUUACUCUAGGGAUAACAGCGUUAUAUAAUUAGUGAGUUCUUAUUGAGAAUUAUGGUUGCGACC